RNAcentral lists this ribosomal RNA (914 nucleotides) under uncultured bacterium. Its description in RNAcentral is "bacterial SSU rRNA". It matches the Rfam family "Bacterial small subunit ribosomal RNA", at positions 8 to 916 of the family's 1533-position model. The record is from RNAcentral.
AGAGUUUGAUCCUGGCUCAGGAUGAACGCUAGCGGCAGGCUUAAUACAUGCAAGUCGAACGGGAUUCGUUGUAGCAAUACGAUGAUGAGAGUGGCGCACGGGUGCGUAACGCGUAUGCAACCUACCUUUAACAGGUGAAUAGCCCCGAGAAAUCGGGAUUAAUACACCGUAACAUUGCGAAGUGGCAUCACUAUGCAAUUAAAGAUUUAUCGGUUAAAGAUGGGCAUGCGUGACAUUAGCUAGUUGGUGAGGUAACGGCUCACCAAGGCAACGAUGUCUAGGGGUCCUGAGAGGGUUAUCCCCCACACUGGUACUGAGACACGGACCAGACUCCUACGGGAGGCAGCAGUAAGGAAUAUUGGUCAAUGGGCGCAAGCCUGAACCAGCCAUGCCGCGUGCAGGAAGACGGCCCUAUGGGUUGUAAACUGCUUUUGUCAGGGAAUAAACCUAUCUACGCGUAGAUAGCUGAAGGUACCUGAAGAAUAAGCAUCGGCUAACUCCGUGCCAACAGCCGCGGUAAUACGGAGGGUGCAAGCGUUGUUCGGAAUUAUUGGGCGUAAAGCGCGUGUAGGCGGUUUGUUAAGUCUGAUGUGAAAGCCCUGGGCUCAACCUGGGAAGUGCAUUGGAAACUGGCAGACUUGAAUACGGGAGAGGGUAGUGGAAUUCCGAGUGUAGGAGUGAAAUCCGUAGAUAUUCGGAGGAACACCGGUGGCGAAGGCGGCUACCUGGACCGAUAUUGACGCUGAGACGCGAAAGCGUGGGUAGCAAACAGGAUUAGAUACCCUGGUAGUCCACGCUGUAAACGAUGUUCACUAGGUGUUGGGGGUAUUGACCCUCUCAGUGCCGCAGCUAACGCAUUAAGUGAACCGCCUGGGGAGUACGGUCGCAAGAUUAAAACUCAAAGGAAUUGACGG